RNAcentral lists this non-coding RNA (26 nucleotides) under Rattus norvegicus (Norway rat). Lineage: Eukaryota; Metazoa; Chordata; Mammalia; Rodentia; Muridae. The record is from RNAcentral.
AGGAUGUAGCUCAGCGGUAGAGCGAC